ACCCCGGAGCUGCAUGCGAGACUGCCUGGCUCGAGCGCGGUAGAGGCGGGCGGAAUUCCUGGUGUAGCGGUGGAAUGCGUAGAGAUCAGGAAGAACACCGGUGGCGAAGGCGGCUCGCUGGGCCGUUGCUGACGCUGAGGCACGAAAGCGUGGGGAGCAAACAGGAUUAGAUACCCUGGUAGUCCACGCCCUAAACGAUGGACACUAGGCGUCGGGGGGAGCGACCCUCCCGGUGCCGUCGCUAACGCAAUAAGUGUCCCGCCUGGGGAGUACGGCCGCAAGGCUGAAACUCAAAGGAAUUGACGGGGGCCCGCACAAGCAGUGGAGCAUGUGGUUUAAUUCGAUGCAACGCGAAGAACCUUACCUGGGCUUGACAUGCACGUGAAAGCCGGUGGAAACAUCGGUCCUCCUUCGGGACGCGUGCACAGGUGCUG
RNAcentral lists this ribosomal RNA (434 nucleotides) under uncultured bacterium. RNAcentral's name for it is "bacterial SSU rRNA". It matches the Rfam family "Bacterial small subunit ribosomal RNA", at positions 612 to 1043 of the family's 1533-position model. The record is from RNAcentral.